Molecule: ribosomal RNA, 413 nt
Filed under: Nocardia amamiensis
Lineage: Bacteria; Bacillati; Actinomycetota; Actinomycetes; Mycobacteriales; Nocardiaceae
Description: bacterial SSU rRNA
Rfam family: Bacterial small subunit ribosomal RNA
Source: RNAcentral
CCUUCGGGGUACACGAGCGGCGAACGGGUGAGUAACACGUGGGUGAUCUGCCUCGCACUUCGGGAUAAGCCUGGGAACUGGGUCUAAUACCGGAUAUGACCACGGAUCGCAUGGUUUGUGGUGGAAAGGUUUACUGGUGCGAGAUGGGCCCGCGGCCUAUCAGCUUGUUGGUGGGGUAAUGGCCUACCAAGGCGACGACGGGUAGCCGGCCUGAGAGGGCGACCGGCCACACUGGGACUGAGACACGGCCCAGACUCCUACGGGAGGCAGCAGUGGGGAAUAUUGCACAAUGGGCGAAAGCCUGAUGCAGCGACGCCGCGUGAGGGAUGACGGCCUUCGGGUUGUAAACCUCUUUCGACAGGGACGAAGCGCAAGUGACGGUACCUGUAGAAGAAGCACCGGCCAACUACGUG